CAGUAGCCGCGGUAAUACGAAGGGGGCUAGCGUUGCUCGGAAUGACUGGGCGUAAAGGGCGCGUAGGCGGCGAUCAAAGUCAGGCGUGAAAUUCCUGGGCUCAACCUGGGGGCUGCGCUUGAUACUUGGUUGCUUGAGUGGGGAAGAGGGUCGUGGAAUUCCCGGUGUAGAGGUGAAAUUCGUAGAUAUUGGGAAAAACACCAGUGGCGAAGGCGGCCCACUGGACCGACACUGACGCUGAGGCGCGAAAGCGUGGGGAGCAAACAGGAUUAGAUACCCCAGUAGUCCCUGUCUCUUAUAC
This 301-nucleotide ribosomal RNA is filed under the name uncultured bacterium. Its description in RNAcentral is "partial 16S ribosomal RNA". It matches the Rfam family "Bacterial small subunit ribosomal RNA", at positions 509 to 807 of the family's 1533-position model. The record is from RNAcentral.